UACGAAGGGGGCUAGCGUUGUCCGGAAUUAUUGGGCGUAAAGCGCGCGCAGGCGGUCCUUUAAGUCUGAUGUGAAAGCCCACGGCUCAACCGUGGAGGGUCAUUGGAAACUGGGGGACUUGAGUACAGAAGAGAAGAGUGGAAUUCCACGUGUAGCGGUGAGAUGCGUAGAGAUGUGGAGGAACACCAGUGGCGAAGGCGACUCUUUGGUCUGUAACUGACGCUGAGGCGCGAAAGCGUGGGGAGCAAACAGG
This 253-nucleotide ribosomal RNA is filed under the name uncultured bacterium. Its description in RNAcentral is "partial 16S ribosomal RNA". It matches the Rfam family "Bacterial small subunit ribosomal RNA", at positions 524 to 776 of the family's 1533-position model. The record is from RNAcentral.